GACGAACGCUGGCGGCGUGCUUAACACAUGCAAGUCGAACGGAAAGGCCUCUGCUUGCAGGGGUGCUCGAGUGGCGAACGGGUGAGUAACACGUGGGUGAUCUGCCUUGUACUCUGGGAUAAGCUUGGGAAACUGGGUCUAAUACCGGAUAGGAACUGCCUUUAGUGUGGUGGUUGGAAAGUUUUUUCGGUGCAAGAUGAGCUCGCGGCCUAUCAGCUUGUUGGUGGGGUAAUGGCCUACCAAGGCGUCGACGGGUAGCCGGCCUGAGAGGGUGUACGGCCACAUUGGGACUGAGAUACGGCCCAGACUCCUACGGGAGGCAGCAGUGGGGAAUAUUGCACAAUGGGCGGAAGCCUGAUGCAGCGACGCCGCGUGGGGGAUGACGGCCUUCGGGUUGUAAACUCCUUUCGACAGGGACGAAGCGCAAGUGACGGUACCUGUAUAAGAAGCACCGGCUAACUACGUGCCAGCAGCCGCGGUAAUACGUAGGGUGCGAGCGUUGUCCGGAAUUACUGGGCGUAAAGAGCUCGUAGGUGGUUUGUCGCGUCGUCUGUGAAAUUCCGGGGCUUAACUCCGGGCGUGCAGGCGAUACGGGCAUAACUUGGGUGCUGUAGGGGAGACUGGAAUUCCUGGUGUAGCGGUGAAAUGCGCAGAUAUCAGGAGGAACACCGAUGGCGAAGGCAGGUCUCUGGGCAGUUACUGACGCUGAGGAGCGAAAGCAUGGGUAGCGAACAGGAUUAGAUACCCUGGUAGUCCACGCCGUAAACGGUGGGCGCUAGGUGUAGGGGGCUUCCACGUCUUCUGUGCCGUAGCUAACGCAUUAAGCGCCCCGCCUGGGGAGUACGGCCGCAAGGCUAAAACUCAAAGGAAUUGACGGGGGCCCGCACAAGCGGCGGAGCAUGUGGAUUAAUUCGAUGCAACGCGAAGAACCUUACCUGGGCUUGACAUACACCAGAUCGCUGCAGAGAUGUAGUUUCCCUUGUGGUUGGUGUACAGGUGGUGCAUGGUUGUCGUCAGCUCGUGUCGUGAGAUGUUGGGUUAAGUCCCGCAACGAGCGCAACCCUUGUCUUAUGUUGCCAGCAUUUGGUUGGGGACUCAUGAGAGACUGCCGGGGUUAACUCGGAGGAAGGUGGGGAUGACGUCAAAUCAUCAUGCCCCUUAUGUCCAGGGCUUCACACAUGCUACAAUGGUCGGUACAGCGCGCAGCGACACUGUGAGGUGGAGCGAAUCGCUGAAAGCCGGUCUUAGUUCGGAUUGGGGUCUGCAACUCGACCCCAUGAAGUCGGAGUCGCUAGUAAUCGUAGAUCAGCAAUGCUGCGGUGAAUACGUUCCCGGGCCU
RNAcentral lists this ribosomal RNA (1339 nucleotides) under uncultured bacterium. RNAcentral's name for it is "bacterial SSU rRNA". It matches the Rfam family "Bacterial small subunit ribosomal RNA", at positions 28 to 1381 of the family's 1533-position model. The record is from RNAcentral.